Molecule: long non-coding RNA, 2751 nt
Organism: Bos grunniens (domestic yak)
Lineage: Eukaryota; Metazoa; Chordata; Mammalia; Artiodactyla; Bovidae
Source: Ensembl
GUGGACCAAGAUGAAUUGAUGGAGAGGAUGAGCAAUGUAACAGAAUUCAUCCUACUGGGCCUGACCCAGAAUCCAGGACUGCAGACACUCUUAUUUGCUGUGUUUCUGAUCAUCUACUUGAUCACAUUGGCAGUGACAAGUGGGAGAGCUGGUGGAAUCAGCUGUGAGAUACUUGAGCAGCACUUAUUUCAGAAGCUCUCACUGAUGGUGGAUCCUGUCCUGAUCCUGUCCUCAGGAAGAAAGAGAAGAAGGGACAGCUCAGUUCCAGGAUCCUGUCCUGAUCCUGUCCUCAGGAAGAAAGAGGAUAAGGGACAGCUCAGUUCCAGAGACCAAAAGGCCCAUCUCUGUACAGAGCUUGCGAUUUCUGAGGGAGAGCUCAGAAACUUGUUUUCAUGAGAUUUCUCAACCAAGGAUUUGAAUAUCAGGCGAUGCUGGCUUUUCAUUUCUCAUGUUCUUCGGACUUUAUUAUCAGGUUAGAUCUCACUGUAUGUAUAAAGGCUUUAAACCUAGAGGGGUGGGAUGGGGAAGGAGAUUCAAAAGGGAGGGUAUAUAUGUAUACUUAUGGUUGAUUCAUGUUGAGGUUUGACAGAAAACAGCAAAAUUCUGUAAAGCAAUGAUCCUUCAAUAAAAAAAAAUCCCUGUUUGCUAUAAAAAAAAUAGAUAUUUUAUUUUGCCAUAACCUCCUAUGAGUGAUCAUUUUGUAAAUAUAUGUAAGCAACUGUGUGUUUAAAAAAAAAUCACAUAUAUCUUUUAAAUAUCUAGUUGUAGUCUCCAAGAAAGCUGGAAUGAAACGGGAUGAUAUAAAAGGAAGGAUAAUAGUGAUGAUAAUGAUAGCUGUUUACUGAGUCCUUUCUGUGAAUAAAGUCUUCAUCUGAGCACUUACUCAUUUUAUAUGUUUUGGAGGAAACAGAUUUGUGACCUUAAUUUAUGUCUUUCUUUAAUUUGUCUCAAACUGUGGAACUUAUCUUUGUCUUAAAUAUUUCUUCAUCUGAACAUAAUGGUAAACCUAUGUUAAGGAUGGUGUGAAUGUAAAUAAAUCAAUGCUAGUGUAAAAAUUAUGACAGCUUUUCUUACUUAUGUUUUCACCCUGUGCAAAGUGGUUUAUAUUUGUUUUAUUUAAUUUUCACUACAGCCCAAUAAUUGCAGUCAUAUUAAUAUUCCCAUUUCAUAAAUUAGGGAACAAAGUGUCAGAGAGGUCAAUUAUAUUGCUAGAGAUCAGUUGUCUUAAGUUUGGCUGAAUGAGAAUUUAAAUCUAAGCCUAUGUGACCCACAGCCUUAGUGCAUUACCAAAACCAUUUUGCACCCCCCUAAUAUAAACAGCCAAUAAACUAAAUUUCUCAUGUUUCCCUUGAAUCUUUAGAAUUCUCUUCUUGAAACCUUUGGCCUUCAUGUGUUAACCUAUUGGAAAGUGGACUUUCUUUUAACAGACCUGAAAUGCAUGAGUCUGAGAAGAACUGGCUAGUGACUGGGUGGUGAUUCCGAAACUUUUUGAUUCCCAUGUAAUAGGAAAUUCCUUUGAAAUUAUUUUCUUCUCCAUCUGCACUAGUUUAUACAUAACAAUUGGCUUAUACUGUAGUACUUUCCUGUGUUAAUUUUUUAAAAUUAGCAAAUAUAUUUGAUAUGAAUAUGUAUUCAUUCUGCUGUUGUCCAUUAAAAAUAUAUACCUAAAGAAACUAAAGACCUAUAUAUAGAAAACUAUAAAACACUGGUGAAAGAAAUCAAAGAGGACACUAAUAGAUGGAGAAAUAUACCAUGUUCAUGGAUUGGAAGAAUCAAUAUAGUGAAAAUGAGUAUACUACCCAAAGCAAUUUAUAGAUUCAAUGCAAUCCCUAUCAAGCUACCAACAGUAUUCUUCACAGAGCUAGAACAAAUAAUUUCACAAUUUGUAUGGAAAUACAAAAAACCUUGAAUAGCCAAAGCGAUCUUGAGAAAGAAGAAUGGAACUGGAGGAAUCAACCUACCUGACUUCAGGCUCUACUACAAAGCCACAGUUAUCAAGACAGUAUGGUACUGGCACAAAGACAGAAAUAUUGAUCAAUGGAAUAAAAUAGAAAGCCCAGAGAUAAAUCCACGCACAUAUGGACACCUUAUCUUUGACAAAGGAGGCAAGAAUAUACAAUGGAUUAAAGACAAUCUCUUUAACAAGUGGUGCUGGAAAUCUGGUCAACCACUUGUAAAAGAAUGAAACUAGACCACUUUCUAACACCAUACACAAAAAUAAACUCAAAAUGGAUUAAAGAUCUAAACGUAAGACCAGAAACUAUAAAACUCCUAGAGGAGAACAUAGGCAAAACACUCUCCGACAUACAUCACAGCAGGAUCCUCUAUGACCCACCUCCCAGAAUAUUGGAAAUAAAAGCAAAAUAAACAAAUGGGACCUAAUUAAACUUAAAAGCUUCUGCACAACAAAGGAAACUAUUAGCAAGGUGAAAAGACAGCCUUCAGAAUGGGAGAAAAUAAUAGCAAAUGAAGAACCGACAAACAACUAAUCUCAAAAUAUACAAGCAACUCCUACAGCUCAACUCCAGAAAAAUAAACGACCCAAUCAAAAAUGGGCCAAAGAACUAAAUAGACAUUUCUCCAAAGAAGACAUACAGAUGGCUAACAAACACAUGAAAAGAUGCUCAACAUCACUCAUUAUCAGAGAAAUGCAAAUCAAAACCACUAUGAGGUACCAUUUCACACCAGUCAGAAUGGCUGCAAUCCAAAAGUCUACAAAUAAUAAAUGCUGGAGAGGGUGUGGAGAAAAGG